AGCUUCAGCCGGUUCACUCGUUCCGUCAAACGUAGGUGGGUUCUGCCUUAAAAAGAGUUCUUCGACUCUCCUAGUUGGGGGCGGAGGGAGUGGGUUAUGUCCUCGAGCAUCUUGUGGUUCUUCGGGUACAACGUUACGAUUUCUGCGAUUGUUAUUGUUUCUCACAGGGCGUCCUCUCUUAGGCGGCAUUCUGGUAGCAAAGAUGUGCCAAUUAGUAGACUCUAGCAUAAUCUAAUACAAGCCUCAAAAGAAUUCUUGUACAGGUUAACUUAUUCUAACUUGUAAACAAGUCAUAACUCCAAUGACACCAUUGAUGUAGUAAGCUCUAA
RNAcentral lists this long non-coding RNA (329 nucleotides) under Salvia miltiorrhiza (redroot sage). RNAcentral's name for it is "long non-coding RNA (SMIL_LNC010228)". Lineage: Eukaryota; Viridiplantae; Streptophyta; Magnoliopsida; Lamiales; Lamiaceae. The record is from RNAcentral.